Molecule: long non-coding RNA, 556 nt
Organism: Haliotis rubra (blacklip abalone)
Lineage: Eukaryota; Metazoa; Mollusca; Gastropoda; Lepetellida; Haliotidae
Exons: 3
Source: RefSeq, a predicted model, not a curated record
UGCAAUGAUGCAGUGGAUAAAGGGGAGUAAGUAGUGUACAAUGUUGUAGUGGAUAAAGGAGUAGUAAGUAAGUAGCAUUGUUGUAGUGGAUAAUUGGAGUAAGUAAGGUACAAUGUUGUAGUGGAUAAAGGGAGUAAGUAAGGUGCAAUGUUGUAGUGAAUAAAGGGAGUAAGUAAGGAGCAAUGGUGUAGUGGAUAAAGGAGUAAGUAAGGAGCAAUGAUGCAGUGGAUAAGGGAGUAGGUAAGGUACAAUGUUGUAGUUGAUAAGGGAGUAGGUAAGGUACAACGUUGUAGUUGAUAAGGGAGGAAGUAAGGUACAAUGUUGUAGUGGAUAAGGGAGGAAGUAAGGUUUAAUGAUGUAGCUGAUAAGGGAGUAAGUAAGGUACACUGUUACAGUUGAUAAGGGAGUAGGUAAGGUACAACGUUGUAGUUGAUAAGGGAGGAAGUAAGGUACAAUGUUGUAGUGGAAAAAGAAGUAAGUAAGGUCCAAUGAUGUAGUAAAUAAGGGAGUAGGUAAGGUGCAAUGAAGUAGUGGAAAAAGGAGUAGGUAAGGUACA